This 77-nucleotide transfer RNA is filed under the name Hadesarchaea archaeon. RNAcentral describes it as "tRNA-Gly". It matches the Rfam family "tRNA". Rfam says of the family: Transfer RNA (tRNA) molecules are approximately 80 nucleotides in length. The record is from RNAcentral. Lineage: Archaea; Methanobacteriati; Hadarchaeota (SeqCode); Hadarchaeia (SeqCode).
GCGGCCGUGGUCCAGCCUGGUCAGGACUCAGGCCCUCCAAGCCUGUAGCGCGGGUUCGAAUCCCGCCGGCCGCACCA